Cebus imitator (Panamanian white-faced capuchin) is the source of this 5549-nucleotide long non-coding RNA. RefSeq lists it as uncharacterized. The transcript is spliced from 3 exons. NCBI's taxonomy places the organism in Eukaryota, Metazoa, Chordata, Mammalia, Primates, Cebidae. The record is from RefSeq and is a predicted model, not a curated record.
AAAAGUUCCAGAUUUUUGGUUGAACGUGCUUGAUUAAAUAUUCAUGUUUAUUCUCUGCUCCCUCCUGAGGCCCUACUGAAAUGCUAAUAAAGAAGUUCAAAACCUGUAUAAACACACAAGCACAAAGUGAACCGAAAAGAUGGUGACAGCACAAGAGAGAACAAGAUGACGUUGAAUGUGUUGAAAUCAAAUGGAAAUGUGACAAACUAGUUUAACCGAGAGAAAAAACCUGUGCCUAUAGAGGGGAAAGCUGAGAGGAGGCAGUCCUCUGCGUUCUGCAGCAUUCUGGAAAUGCUCAUGAAUUAGAAGCAUCAAUUUUGAUGGGGAAAAAAGUAUCAGGUGUAGAGGGUAGAUGGGAAAGAAAUAAGAAUUAAUUGAAAGACUAGCCUCAAGAAGGAGCAGAUGGAACCCAGUGUAACCCUCCUAUGUCCAUUGCCACCCUGUACUACAGGCUGCAAGCUACCUCACAUCUGGUAGAAGAUUAAAGGUUGAAUCUGGUUAUUUUGAACUAUACAGUUUCUGGAUUAGAGACUACUAGAGACAUCUGAGGAUGAAGUGAAGUGCCAUAGAGAAAACAGGGGGAAUAAGUGAAAUUCUAUAUUCCUAGUGUUAAGUCCAUCAGCUCCCGUGUUCAACUCAGUUUAAAAUUCUAGUUUUCCAAAUAAUUUUUCAUCAGAAUCUUCUAAGAGUUGUUGAUGCUGAUUAGAAAUCUAAUUCCAGUGUGACUCUUUCUACCUCAAUUAGUGAUUCUGUUACUUUUCUCUCCAUACUCAUCUAGGAUUUUCCCCCUUAUCCUUGGUAUUAUAGUUUUGCUGGAAUAUAUUUCAGUGUAAGUCUUUUAAAUUCAGUGAUAGUCACAGUUUGUGGGCUAUUUUCAUCUAAAUAUACGAUGUCCUUCAGUUGUGGGAAAAUUUGUUCUAUCACUUCUUUAGUAAAUCUCUCUCUUCUGUUUCUUUUUUUCUAGGACAAAUAUUAUUUGCUUGUUUUAUCUCCAAGAUUGAUUUUCUAUGUAGUAAUAUAUUUCAGUGCAUUUUUGACUCUGUCUUUUUCUUCUGUGUCCUGAGAGAUUUUCUCAGUUUUGAUUUUCAAACCAUCGGCUGAUUUUUAUAAAGUUUUGGCAACAGCAUUUUAGUUUUUAAAGAGUGCUUUCUGGUUGUUGAAUUUUUUGUUGUUGAUUUUUUAAGGAUAUAUUAAACUAGAUAUUAUUGAACAUUCUCUUUUAUUCUUAGAAUUUUGUUUCCCUUUGCAUCAGGCUUUCUGAUUCUUUUCUUGAUUAUAUUUCUUGCCUUAUACUGAGGACUAAUCUUCCCUUUAUAUUAUAAGAAGAAAGGACUAUACAACUACAGGUAUUUCCUGUGUCAUUGUUUAUGUAGGUCUGUUUUCUAAUAGGUUUCCUUGAAGAUGUGAUUUAGUUAAGGACCUUGAGAUAGAAAUAUUAGCCUAUAUCAUCAUCCAUCCAGGUGGACUCAAUCUAAUCACACGGGUUUUUAAAAUUGGAGAAACAUUCCCUGCUGUGGUCAGAGGGAGAUGUGAACUAUAGUUGAACGAUCAAAGAGAUGAAACAUUGCUGGCUUUGAAGAUGGAGGGAGGGGCUGCAAACUAAGGAAUGUGCGCAGCCUUUAGAAGUUGGAAAACAGAUUCACUCCUAGAGCAGUUAGAAAGGUAUAUUGCUGAAUUCUUGAUUUUAACCCAAUGAGACUCAUGUUGAAUUUCUAGCCUGCAGAGCUGUAAAAGUAAGUUUGUAUUGUUAAGACAUCAAGUUCGUGAUAAUUUGUUUUAGCAACCAUAUGUCAAUUUGCAGCUGUUUAUUUAGAAUAUGUGAAUAAGGUUUGAUGCCAUUUUCAACCUCCUCACUCUUGAAUCCCUCAAACCUCCUCCCCACUCUCCACCAGUGCACCAAUGCCAGAUUGAAGGGUUACUCAUUACAAUUUACAUUAUAGUCUCUCACAGUUGUGUUGUUUUCUGUGAUUUUCACUUCUGUAGCUAAAUCAUCAUCCCCUUUACAUUUCUAUCCUUUUAUCAGUGAGAAUUUUGGAAAGAUCGGUAUGGUCAUCUGAAUUAGAAGCAUUAUUCAUGCACUUCUUAUAAGUGAGAGAAAAGCUACAGGCAAAAAGAAGCAGGACAAUGAGGAUCCCGAGAACAGAUUUGAUUUUCUGUUGCUAGAAACAAUCACAGUCCCAGAAAAGAGGCUUUCUAACUUUAGAAAAAGGUCCCUAUCGCCCUGAGGAAAGGCAGCUUGUUUCUCUCUUCUCAUUUUCCCUGAAAUUGAUCUGCUGGUAUGAUAGUUACUCUUUUAGCCCUAGGGUCUACAAGCUGAAGUGGGUGGGAAGAAAAGGCUUUUUUCAGAAGAACAGCCUUGCUAUUGCCAUAAUCAACACUACCUUGUUUUACAAGACGCGACUCAUUCAUGUAAAACUAUUGGUUGCCUAUCUAUGUCAGAUUUCAUGAUCAAACAGCUCACAUCUUUUUUCCUUUUAGAUGUUUUUCUUAGCUCUGGUCUGCUGGUGGUACUCCUUCUUGGAUUCCAGGGUAAAUGCAAAUGUAUUUUUACUCUGUCCUUAGUUCCUUCAGGAAUUAUUUAUGUUUUAUUUUGCAAUGCUUUCAUCAAUCCUCUCAGUUUUUUCUGUAGAUAAUAAAGUCUACGAAUGUUGUCUUGAUAAUGUAGUACUCAGAAUUGGGUGUAAUACUCUGGUUAUAUUCCGAGCAAAUGGCAAUGUUAUUUUACUUUCUUAUCUGAAUAUCAUACUAUAAUUUUUUUUUGAUCUAAAGCUACUGUAUCUUUGUAAUUCUGCUUGAAGAAGACAAAGAUAAUCCUACUUUCUUUUCCUAGAUGAAGGCUUAUGUUCUAGGCUUUUAUUUUGUACAUCUGAUCUUAUUUUUAAUUUUACCGAAGCAGAUAUCUCCAUAUCCUACCACAGCCUCCUCUCAAUCUGAUGCUCACUGCAACAAGGCCAUUUAAAGCUCAGCCAGAAGGGUUGAUCCGACUGUCUUUGCUUGAAGAAUGUCUCCACUGCUUUUACACAAAGGUACUGAGGGACUCCAAAGUUUGCUAGAUUUAGUGUGUGAUCUUUUUCUCUGUAAAUUCUUCCUCUCUUUUAGAGUCCUCACUUUUCAUUGAGGCUAGGAUUAAUGUAAUAUACUACAGAGGGCAACAUAGCACUGAUCAGGGAAGAAAGAAACGUUCACUGGAAGUUUUUGACAUGUCUCCAAACAAGGAAAGCACAGGUUCGCUUCUGUAUCCUCGGUCCUGUAUCUGGCCUCCAGAGGGUGAUGUUGCACAAGGGACAGAUGCCUGUUUCCCUUGAUGAUCAACACUUUCUGCUCAGCCCCUUCUUCCUGCAGCUGGCUUACUGAAGCGCCUCAUUGGAGUUCUUUGAAGAUGGGGCAAGCGAAGAGAAUCAAAGAUUGAAAACCAAUCAGGAUUAUCUCAGCAGUUUUUGUAUUUUUACCAAAACAAGAGACUUGCCUAGCCCAACCUUCCUCAUACUCGCUAUUCCCAAGACCUGGGUUCCAGCCACUUUCUUCCUUGCUCCAAGGAGAAUUUCCAAUGAGAUGCCUGCAGUGUUUCCAUAGCUCAGCCAUGCUCCCGUUGCUCAUUCCAGUUCUGGGGAUGAUUUUUGCCCUGAGAGAUGCCAGAGGCCAGUCUGUGAGCCAGCCUGACUACCAUGUAAUUCUCUCUGAAGGGGCUUCACUGGAGUUGAGAUGCAACUAUUCCUAUGGUGGAAUUGUUUAUCUCUUCUGGUAUGUCCAGAACCCUGGUCAAGACCUUCAGCUUCUCCUCAAGUACUAUUCAGGGGACACACUGGUUAAAGGCAUCAAAGGCUUUGAGGCUGAAUUUAUGAAGAGUAGAUCUUCCUUUAACCUGAGGAAACCCUCUGUGCAGUGGAGUGACACGGCUGAGUACUUCUGUGCUGUGAAAGCCACAGUAUCUGGGACUGCAAAGGGAGCUGAACACAAACUUUGUAAGGUGCUAGGGGGAAUAACUGCCUCUGAAAGAUUUUGGAUUCUGACACAGUAGAAACCAUGAUGCUUUUUAAAAAAAUUUAUUUUUAAUUUUUAUGGCUACAUAGUAGAUGUAUAUGUUUAUAGGGUACAUGAGAUAUUUUGAUACAGGCAUGCAAUGCAUAACAAUUACAUCACAUAAAUGGGAUACCCAUCCCCUGAAGCAUUUAUCCUUUGUGUUACAAACAAUCCAAUUAUACUAUCUUAGUUAUUUAAAAAUGUACAAUUAAAUUGUUAUUGACUAUAGUUACCCUGUUGUGCUAUCAAAUACCAGGUCUUAUUCAUUCUUUCUAUUUUUUUGUACCCAUUAAACAUCCCUCUUCUCCCCCACCCUCCCAAUAUUGUUCCCAGCCUCUAGAAACCAUCCUUGUCUUCUAUUCUGUAUCUCCAUGAGUUUGAUUGUUUUGAUUUUUAAAUCCCACAGAUAAGUAUGUGAACAUGUAAUGUUUAUCUUUCGGAGCCUGGCUUAUUUCACUUAGCAUAAUGACCUCCAGUUCCAUUCAUCUUGCUGCUGUGACCCUAAAAGUAUCUGAGACAAGUCUCAAUCAAUUAAGAAGGUUUAUUUGCCAAAGUUAAAGAUGCACCCAUGACACAGCCUCAGGAAGUCCUGAUGACAUGUGCCCAAGGUGGUUGGGGUACAGCUUGCUUUUAUACAGUUUAGGGAAACAUAAUACAGCAAUCAAUACAUGUAAGAUUUACAGUGGUUAGAUCUGGAAGGGCGGUACAACUUGAAGGCGAGCUUUCAGAUCACAGGCAGAACUUAAAAAUUUUCUGAUUGGCAGUUGUUUAUUAUCAAUAGAAAGCAAUGUCUGGGCUAUGAUCAGAGGUUGUGGAGACCAAAGUUUUAUCAUGCAGAUGAAGCUCCAGGUAGCAGGCUUCAGAGAGAAUAGAUAGUAAAUGUUUCUUAUCAGACUUAAAGUGCAUGUUGAUGUUAAUGACAGUUAGCUUUUCUUGAAUUCCCAAAGGGAAAUUCAAAAGGGAGGAGGGUAUAUGAGGCAUGUCCCCCCUUCCCAUCGUGGCCCAAACUAGUUUUUCAGGUUAACAUUGGCAUGCCCUUGGCUGAGAGAUGUCCAUUCAGAUGGUUGGAGACCUGAUAAUUUUGUUUUUGCUUUAUAUAUUACAAAUGAUAGAAUCUCAUUCUUUUUGUGAAGCCAUGAAGUUCUUAUUCGACAGUAUGGAGGUGCUCAGGGAUUUGCUGGGUUAUAUUCUCUACUGUCUCUGAGAGGCUGAUGAUCUUUGUAAGACUUAAAAACACAACGCAGUCCUGUGUUCCAGAAUGACUGCAGUGGGUGCUUUAUACACUACAUAUGAGAGCGAGAAAUGGUAAUGUCUUUCAAUUCCAAACUGGAGCAUGGUACUGAGGAAAUGUAACUGCUGGCACCAAGAACCUCAAGCACCUGGAAAUGCAUUUUCCAUUCUCACACCAACAACCCUGUCUGAGAUGUCAGAGUAGUUUUAUUUAUAUGAUUUUAUAAAUGUAAAGAACUUUAUAUAAUACAUAUAUAUAUAAAGUAGAAACCAGAAAUAUUUAAUUUCUAACAUAAGUA